This 146-nucleotide microRNA precursor is filed under the name Pteropus vampyrus (large flying fox). Its description in RNAcentral is "miRNA (ENSPVAG00000024527.1)". The record is from RNAcentral. Lineage: Eukaryota; Metazoa; Chordata; Mammalia; Chiroptera; Pteropodidae.
AAUGUAGGAUGCCAAGGUAAAUUUGAAUUUCAGAUAAAUAGCAAUGUUUAGUAUAAGUAUAUCCCAGUAUUGCAUGGGACAUACUUAUACUAAAUAAUUCUUUGUCAUGUAUCUGAAAUUCAAAUUAACUGGGCAUCCUUUAUUUU